AUAGCCACUAGNNNAAAUGGUGGGUAAUACUGUAUAAUCCCUGCGGGGGAAAGAUUNUAUCGCUAUUAGAUGAGCCUAUGUUAGAUUAGCUAGUUGGUAGGGUAAAGGCCUACCAAGGCGAUGAUCUAUAGCUGGUCUGAGAGGAUGAUCAGCCACACNNUGGAACUGAGAUACGGUCCAGACUCCUACGGGAGGCAGCAGUGGGGAAUAUUGGACAAUGGGCGCAAGCCUGAUCCAGCUAUGCCGCGUGAGUGAGGAAGGCCUUAGGGUUGUAAAACUCUUUCAGUAGGGAA
Molecule: ribosomal RNA, 293 nt
Filed under: Anaplasma phagocytophilum
Lineage: Bacteria; Pseudomonadati; Pseudomonadota; Alphaproteobacteria; Rickettsiales; Anaplasmataceae
Description: partial 16S ribosomal RNA
Rfam family: Bacterial small subunit ribosomal RNA
Source: RNAcentral